RNAcentral lists this transfer RNA (72 nucleotides) under Toxocara canis (dog roundworm). It matches the Rfam family "tRNA". From Rfam's summary of the family: Transfer RNA (tRNA) molecules are approximately 80 nucleotides in length. Their secondary structure includes four short double-helical elements and three loops (D, anti-codon, and T loops). Lineage: Eukaryota; Metazoa; Nematoda; Chromadorea; Rhabditida; Toxocaridae. The record is from Rfam by way of RNAcentral.
GGGACAGUAGCUAAGUAGUAGAGCUCCCGCGUCAUAUGCGGGAACACCUGGGUUCGAUUCCCGGCAGCUUCU